AGUAGCUGGGACCACAGGUGUGAGCUGCCAUACCUGGCUAACUUUUUAAUUUUUUUGUAGAGAUGGAGUCUCACUACGUUGCUCAGGCUGGUCUCGAACCCUUGGUCUCAAGCAGUCCUCCUGCCUUGGCCUUCCAAAGUGCUGGAUUAUAGGUGUGAGCCCCUGCACCUGGCCCACAAUUAUCUUUCAAGAGGUGUUGCUUUUAUCAACCCCAUUUUAUAGAUGGGGAACAGGUUCUGAGUUUCUUCAGUAGUAACCCCAGGCUUUGGGGUACUGUGAGAACCUGGCAGGACACCGUGAAUCCUGGAUGGCUCAGAACCAGGCUCUGGAGGGGCUUCCCUAAAUUUAGGCCAGCCUUAGUCUGUUGGCCUUAGCAAAGGCAGGAAGAGCCUGUCUAGACUGAGUACUUCCUAAUUCUAGAUGUUACGCCAUUGGCCUGCUUGGGGGCCAGUCCUGGACCAAGAGGGUGCCGUGCUGGGGUGGAGAGCUUCUCACCAAAAGCAAAUAUGGUGUGAGGAACAUGUGUUCUCUGCCGGGCCUCAGCACAUGGGCAGUCUGUCGUGAUGCUCGCUGUAGCCAGCAGCCUGGGGUUGGGGCCCUGCUGAGUAAACUAGGAGAGCGGCUGAAUUCUGAGGAGCAGAGAGGUAGAUACGGGCCCCUGGCCUCUUGAGCCGGGGAGAGGAGAGAGUUUCUGAAAAAGAGAGAUACCAGCCAGGGCCCAAGCACUGACACAGGAGACCCUGUGAUGGCGAUGGCUCAGGUCUCCCCCAUCAGAUCAGGAGUUCCUGAAUCCGGAGUGGUCCGUUUGGGCUGGAGGCUCCUAAGGGCAGAACUCUCGCUCCUCCGACACAUCGGGAGCUCCUGUGUGCAGGGCUCUGUCUCCAACUUCGGGCUGAGGCUUCUAACGGCAGCACGUCUCUUCCCUCCGACUAGGGCAGUGAAGCGCUAAGUAUUCCAAGACAGCAAUGUCAGGAAAGGCUGCUCAGGUUUGAGGAGUGGGACCGGCAGAGCUGGAUGAAACCUGACUAUGCUGAAGCGGAAAUGGAGACCCUGGGAGGGGCAGGGACCUGCUGAGUGCCUCCCCUAGGGAGUAGCUGACCUGGACUGCAUCCUGGUGCUCCUGCUGAGGGAGGAGGAUUUGGGGUAAGGAGAGUAAGUGUGGCCUUAGGAAUACAGCCCCCAGAGCCAGGCAGGAGCGGGCAGCCCCACAGGGCCCAGGUUCAAGUGCGAGGCUGCCAAUACCGCCCCUUGGAAGCGCCUCCGUUGUUCUGUCCUGGAUGUUUGAGUCCUUGGCCAGCUUCCUGGGCAAUGGCCUCAUCCCACUGAGACAGACAGAUGUGCACAGCUGGGGGAGGGGCUUGGUGAAAUCCAACCCCGCCCAGCACAGGCCUGGGCUUCCCGGGGCUGGAACUUAUCUGGAUUCUGGUCCAGAUCUCUGCCUUGGCCCUGUUGUGCAGCCCUGGGCAGUGCUGUGGCUUCCCCUUGGGCCUCAGUUUUCUUGUCUCUCAAAUAGGGGAAGCUCUUCAUUCUUUCAUCAGACAUUGACUGCGGUGGUCCAUCGUUGGCCCACUGACUCUAGUAUUUGGGGGUGCAUUAUCUGGUUGUAGGAUACUUCUGCCCCUCUAUUUUAAAAUUUGUCUCAAAAAAUUAUGGUAGAAUGGUCUGGGCGCGGUGGCUCAUGCCUGCAAUCCCAGCACUUUGGGAGGCCGAGGCGGGCAGAUCUCGAGGUCAGGAGAUCAAGACCAUCCUGGCCAACAUGGUGAAAACCCGUCUCUACUAAAAAUACAAAACUUAGCCGGGCGUGGUGGCGGGCGUCUGUAGUCCCAGCUACUCGGGAGGCUGAGGGAGGAGAACCGCUUGAACCCGGGAGGUGGAGGUUGCAGUGAGCCGACAUUGGGCUACUACACUCCAGCCUGGCGACAGAGCGAGAUUCCAUCUUAAAAAAAAAAAAAAAAA
Macaca fascicularis (crab-eating macaque) is the source of this 1956-nucleotide long non-coding RNA. The record is from Ensembl. NCBI's taxonomy places the organism in Eukaryota, Metazoa, Chordata, Mammalia, Primates, Cercopithecidae.